Molecule: non-coding RNA, 318 nt
Organism: Vicia faba (fava bean)
Lineage: Eukaryota; Viridiplantae; Streptophyta; Magnoliopsida; Fabales; Fabaceae
Source: the annotation of a GenBank genome assembly
AUGUUUGAGAGAAGCGUGAGAGAUACGAGGAGAGAGAAAAGCUGGAAUUCUAUGCGAGCAUCUUAUCGAAGCCCAAUGUGUACCCUUCCUCCAGCCACUGUCAGAUCUUCAUCAAAUCAUUACACAUCAUCAUCCAAUGCUCAUAAUAGCGAUCCCACUGUGCACCCUCACAAAAUCAGCUGCAUCGGAUCAACCAGAAGGCUUUGGGUCUCCCUUUAUUUGGGCCUGGAUGGACUUCUAUUCACACCCCCCAGAAUUGCUGCAAUUAGGCCCAUUUCUAAAUAUUUCUCUUUUAUUUUAUUAUUUAUACUUAUUUAG